CCUACGGGAGGCAGCAGUAGGGAAUAUUGCACAAUGGGCGAAAGCCUGAUGCAGCGACGCCGCGUGAGGGAAGAAGGCCUUCGGGUUGUAAACCUCUGUUACCCGGGACGAACACUGACGUUACCGGGGGAGGAAGCUCCGGCUAACUACGUGCCAGCAGCCGCGGUAAUAAUCACU
This 177-nucleotide ribosomal RNA is filed under the name uncultured bacterium. Its description in RNAcentral is "partial 16S ribosomal RNA". It matches the Rfam family "Bacterial small subunit ribosomal RNA", at positions 338 to 529 of the family's 1533-position model. The record is from RNAcentral.